CCUGCCUCAAACCAUCAGAUCAGGUUUUUAUAACGAGGGUCUUUCAGAGCACAGGAACCGUUCCUCAGGUUCUUUCAGGUUCUCUCAGGUUCCUUAAAGUUCCUCAGGUUCUUUAUGAUUCACACAAAUGAAUCAAAUGAAAUGAUUCUGAAUCAGAACAUUAAAAGAAUCAUAAAAGAAAAACCUGCCUCAAACCAUCAGAUCAGGUUUUUAUAACGAGGGUCUUUCAGAGCACAGGAACCGUUCUGUGCAACUUUUUAGGAACCUUUUCCAGGAACCAGGAUAGUUUCCUGUUUGUUUGUUUGUUUGUUUGUUUGUUUGUUUGUUUGUUUGUUUGUUUUUACUGCAGGAACUAAAAUGGACCCAGGGCAGGAACUGACCCAGCAAACAGCUAUGAGGAUGUUUCGUCUGGUUCCUGCGGU
Austrofundulus limnaeus is the source of this 422-nucleotide long non-coding RNA. RefSeq lists it as uncharacterized. The transcript is spliced from 2 exons. The record is from RefSeq and is a predicted model, not a curated record. NCBI's taxonomy places the organism in Eukaryota, Metazoa, Chordata, Actinopteri, Cyprinodontiformes, Rivulidae.